Long non-coding RNA from Ctenopharyngodon idella (grass carp), 1399 nucleotides. RefSeq lists it as uncharacterized. The transcript is spliced from 3 exons. Lineage: Eukaryota; Metazoa; Chordata; Actinopteri; Cypriniformes; Xenocyprididae. The record is from RefSeq and is a predicted model, not a curated record.
GACAAACACUCUCCUUCUCAUCGUCCAGUCUUUCUGUUAGCGUUGAUCUCUGCUGCUGCUGCUGCUGGAUCUCUGUUGAUUGUUGCUGCAGUCUUUGGGAUCUUCUGCAUCAGCAAGAAAUGUAGAAAAACUGAUCAAGAAGACACAGUUCAGACUCGUGCAGAAGAGAUCACUUACGCUGAACCAGCAUUCCACAAGAGAAAAACACAGAAAUCGGAUAUUAAAGAAGAAGAACAGGUGGAGUAUGCACCGGUUGCCAUAAGAAGAUGAUCAAUCUUCAAUCUUUUUCUAGUAUCAGAUCUGUGUCAUCGCUCUCAUGUCCAUGAUGUCAUAUAAUCCUGCAGAUAAACUCUGCUAGUUUCAGUAGUUAUUUCCAGCUCUAGCAAGAGGAGUUUCUAAGAGGAACUAUUCUUGAUCUUACACCCUUUUUUAGAACAGGGCUCCAGACUAUAACAUUUCAGAGUAGUGGCACUGGUGCCAGCAACAUUUACAGAUGGAGACAGUAGCAGAAGCUUGAGCUUAAAAUGCAGAUGUAAAUUUAUUUUCAUUAACAAAAUCAUUAACCGUAAACCUCCGGGAAAAAAAAAAAAAAAAAAAAAAAAAGUGUUGUUAAUUUUGUUUUCUUUGUUUGUCCCUGAACAUUUGUUAUUCUUCCUUGUCACGGGUAUAGCAGAGAUAAGGAAAGGUGAGGAUCUUAGCAGCUUUACAAAGUUGUGUAAGGACAAUAGCUCAAUCCACCUAUUUUUUAUGGGCAUUUUGGGAUAUCACAUAAAAAAAACCCCUGGAUGUAAACACCAAGAUGCACAUAAAUUCUACAAAUGCGCAUGUGCAAUUGAGUCAGAUACAUUUUUAUCCGAUCACAAAACAUGCACAUAAACUAUGAUGCAAACACAUUUAAAAUAAAUUCCUCGAUGCACAUCAAAAAUUACUAUUGAAAAUUAAAAUCGAAAAUUACUAUACACACACACACACACUGGUAUUAUUACACCGGAGAUAUUUUAUGCCAGUUCAUCAGGAAGUGACAAUUUUGUUCUUCUAGACUCAGUAGAUGAAAACAAAUGUUUUAUUUGCAAAUAUUUUGUGUGAUGUUACAAUUUUAUGCAUGAGUUAAAUUCGCAACUUUGGAUGGAAACAUGUCAGCUAAUGACCACCAACCAAUGACUGAAACAAGGGAAUAAAUAUACAGAUUCUUGGCUAGAACCUCAUCAUUUGCCUUCUCUGGCUCCUCUAUUUCACCGCCGUCACUUUCACCCAUGGACUCCUCAGUUUUCAGUAACAAUCUGAUGAUAAUCGCUGUGUUCAUGAGUAUGUGAAUUUUUGCGUGAAGGCAUCAAGUUUUUGUACAGAUUUGAUUGAUUACUUCUGUUUACUGCUGAAAGAAUAAAAACUUGCAAACUUG